UUUAUGGAGAGUUUGAUCCUGGCUCAGGAUGAACGCUGGCGGCGUGCCUAAUACAUGCAAGUCGAGCGAACGGAUGAGAAGCUUGCUUCUCUGAUGUUAGCGGCGGACGGGUGAGUAACACGUGGAUAACCUACCUAUAAGACUGGGAUAACUUCGGGAAACCGGAGCUAAUACCGGAUAAUAUUUUGAACCGCAUGGUUCAAAAGUGAAAGACGGUCUUGCUGUCACUUAUAGAUGGAUCCGCGCUGCAUUAGCUAGUUGGUAAGGUAACGGCUUACCAAGGCAACGAUGCAUAGCCGACCUGAGAGGGUGAUCGGCCACACUGGAACUGAGACACGGUCCAGACUCCUACGGGAGGCAGCAGUAGGGAAUCUUCCGCAAUGGGCGAAAGCCUGACGGAGCAACGCCGCGUGAGUGAUGAAGGUCUUCGGAUCGUAAAACUCUGUUAUUAGGGAAGAACAUAUGUGUAAGUAACUGUGCACAUCUUGACGGUACCUAAUCAGAAAGCCACGGCUAACUACGUGCCAGCAGCCGCGGUAAUACGUAGGUGGCAAGCGUUAUCCGGAAUUAUUGGGCGUAAAGCGCGCGUAGGCGGUUUUUUAAGUCUGAUGUGAAAGCCCACGGCUCAACCGUGGAGGGUCAUUGGAAACUGGAAAACUUGAGUGCAGAAGAGGAAAGUGGAAUUCCAUGUGUAGCGGUGAAAUGCGCAGAGAUAUGGAGGAACACCAGUGGCGAAGGCGACUUUCUGGUCUGUAACUGACGCUGAUGUGCGAAAGCGUGGGGAUCAAACAGGAUUAGAUACCCUGGUAGUCCACGCCGUAAACGA
Molecule: ribosomal RNA, 826 nt
Filed under: Staphylococcus aureus
Lineage: Bacteria; Bacillati; Bacillota; Bacilli; Caryophanales; Staphylococcaceae
Description: bacterial SSU rRNA
Rfam family: Bacterial small subunit ribosomal RNA
Source: RNAcentral